This is a non-coding RNA of Pelobates cultripes (western spadefoot toad), 204 nucleotides long. The record is from the annotation of a GenBank genome assembly. Lineage: Eukaryota; Metazoa; Chordata; Amphibia; Anura; Pelobatidae.
GUUAAACUGCAAUUGGUACAAUUGGUAGCUACAGGUAACAUAACGAGCAUGAACAUCAAAAAGUCAUACAUUAACCAAAACUUUAUAAAUGUUGUGAUCUGUGAUACUGUGAGUUGGAGUGUCGGCUUCCACAGCUCGGAUGAGGAUCAUCGUGUGCGCUUUGGUCUUUAGCCCUGAGUGUGUGUUCGGUUCCCCUGUCCACUC